GGAUUCUACAUUCAAUAAGCGGAGGAAAAGAAACCAACAGGGAUUGCCCUAGUAACGGCGAGUGAAGCGGCAACAGCUCAAAUUUGAAAUCUGGCGUCUUUGGCGUCCGAGUUGUAAUUUGCAGAGGGCGCUUUGGCAUUGGCAGCGGUCCAAGUUCCUUGGAACAGGACGUCACAGAGGGUGAGAAUCCCGUACGUGGUCGCUAGCCUUUACCGUGUAAAGCCCCUUCGACGAGUCGAGUUGUUUGGGAAUGCAGCUCUAAAUGGGAGGUAAAUUUCUUCUAAAGCUAAAUACUGGCCAGAGACCGAUAGCGCACAAGUAGAGUGAUCGAAAGAUGAAAAGCACUUUGGAAAGAGAGUUAAAAAGCACGUGAAAUUGUUGAAAGGGAAGCGCUUGCAGCCAGACUUGCCUGUAGUUGCUCAUCCGGGUUUUUACCCGGUGCACUCUUCUACGGGCAGGCCAGCAUCAGUUUGGGCGGUUGGAUAAAGGUCUCUGUCAUGUACCUCCUUUCGGGGAGAUCUUAUAGGGGAGACGACAUGCAACCAGCCUGGACUGAGGUCCGCGCAUCUGCUAGGAUGCUGGCGUAAUGGCUGUAAGCGGCCCGUCUUGAAACACGGACCAAGGAGUCUAACAUCUAUGCGAGUGUUUGGGUGUCAAGCCCGAGCGCGUAAUGAAAGUGAACGGAGGUGGGAACCUUUCGGGGUGCACCAUCGACCGAUCCUGAUGUCUUCGGAUGGAUUUGAGUAAGAGCAUAGCUGUUGGGACCCGAAAGAUGGUGAACUAUGCUUGAAUAGGGUGAAGCCAGAGGAAACUCUGGUGGAGGCUCGCAGCGGUUCUGACGUGCAAAUCGAUCGUCAAAUUUGGGCAUAGGGGCGAAAGACUAAUCGAACUAUCUAGUAGCUG
RNAcentral lists this ribosomal RNA (903 nucleotides) under Epicoccum mackenziei. RNAcentral describes it as "partial large subunit ribosomal RNA". It matches the Rfam family "Eukaryotic large subunit ribosomal RNA", at positions 30 to 953 of the family's 3401-position model. The record is from RNAcentral. Lineage: Eukaryota; Fungi; Ascomycota; Dothideomycetes; Pleosporales; Didymellaceae.